This 465-nucleotide ribosomal RNA is filed under the name Vreelandella stevensii. Its description in RNAcentral is "partial 16S ribosomal RNA". It matches the Rfam family "Bacterial small subunit ribosomal RNA", at positions 338 to 795 of the family's 1533-position model. The record is from RNAcentral. Lineage: Bacteria; Pseudomonadati; Pseudomonadota; Gammaproteobacteria; Oceanospirillales; Halomonadaceae.
CCUACGGGGGGCUGCAGUGGGGAAUAUUGGACAAUGGGGGCAACCCUGAUCCAGCCAUGCCGCGUGUGUGAAGAAGGCCCUCGGGUUGUAAAGCACUUUCAGUGAGGAAGAACGCCUGGUGGUUAAUACCCAUCAGGAAAGACAUCACUCACAGAAGAAGCACCGGCUAACUCCGUGCCAGCAGCCGCGGUAAUACGGAGGGUGCGAGCGUUAAUCGGAAUUACUGGGCGUAAAGCGCGCGUAGGUGGCUUGAUAAGCCGGUUGUGAAAGCCCCGGGCUCAACCUGGGAACGGCAUCCGGAACUGUCAAGCUAGAGUGCAGGAGAGGAAGGUAGAAUUGCCGGUGUAGCGGUGAAAUGCGUAGAGAUCGGGAGGAAUACCAGUGGCGAAGGCGGUCUUCUGGACUGACACUGACACUGAGGUGCGAAAGCGUGGGUAGCAAACAGGAUUAGAUACCCCAGUAGUC